CCUCCUUUCUUCCGUCGUUCUUACUAUUGUUCCCUGGGCGCGCGCCUGAACCAGCCAAGUCGCGUGAGGGAAGACGGUCCUAUGGAUUGUAAACCCCUUUUGUCGGGGAGCAAAAGACGCCACGCGUGGCGUUCCGAGAGUACCCGAAGAAAAAGCAUCGGCCAACUCCGUGCCAGCAGCCGCGGUAAUACGGAGGAUACGAGCGUUGUCCGGUGUUAGUGGGUGUAAAGGGUGAGCAGGCGGAAGAGCAAGUCAGCGGUAAAAUUGAGAGGCUCAACCUCUUCGAGCCGUUGAAACUUGGUGUCUUGAGUGAGCGAGAGGUAUGCGGAAGGCGUGGUGUAGCGGUGAAAUGCAUAGAUAUCACGCAGAACUCCGAUUGCGAAGGCAGCAUACCGGCGCUCAACUGACGCUCAGGCACGAAAGUGUGGGUAUCGAACAGGAUUAGAUACCCUUGUAGUC
This 459-nucleotide ribosomal RNA is filed under the name uncultured bacterium. Its description in RNAcentral is "partial 16S ribosomal RNA". It matches the Rfam family "Bacterial small subunit ribosomal RNA", at positions 335 to 795 of the family's 1533-position model. The record is from RNAcentral.